This 683-nucleotide ribosomal RNA is filed under the name uncultured bacterium. RNAcentral describes it as "bacterial SSU rRNA". It matches the Rfam family "Bacterial small subunit ribosomal RNA", at positions 234 to 909 of the family's 1533-position model. The record is from RNAcentral.
CGUCGGAUUAGGUAGUUGGUGGGGUAACGGCCUACCAAGCCUACGAUCCGUAGCUGAUCUGAGAGGGCGGACGGCCACACUGGGACUGAGACACGGCCCAGACUCCUACGGGAGGCAGCAGUGGGGAAUUGUUCGCAAUGGGCGCAAGCCUGACGACGCAACGCCGCGUGGAGGAUGAAGAUCUUCGGGUCGUAAACUCCUGUUGCCCGGGACGAAUGGCUCCAACCUAACACGUUGGAGUGUGACGGUACCGGGUGAGGAAGCCCCGGCUAACUCUGUGCCAGCAGCCGCGGUAAUACAGAGGGGGCAAGUGUUGUUCGGAAUUACUGGGCGUAAAGGGCUCGUAGGCGGCCAACUAAGUCAGACGUGAAAUCCCUCGGCUUAACCGGGGAACUGCGUCUGAUACUGGUUGGCUUGAAUCCGGGAGAGGGAUGUGGAAUUCCAGGUGUAGCGGUGAAAUGCGUAGAUAUCUGGAGGAACACCGGUGGCGAAGGCGGCAUCCUGGACCGGUAUUGACGCUGAGGAGCGAAAGCCAGGGGAGCAAACGGGAUUAGAUACCCCGGUAGUCCUGGCCCUAAACGAUGAAUGCUUGGUGUGGCGGGUAUCGAUCCCUGCCGUGCCGAAGCUAACGCAUUAAGCAUUCCGCCUGGGGAGUACGGUCGCAAGGCUGAAACUCAAUGAAU